This 416-nucleotide unclassified non-coding RNA is filed under the name Hevea brasiliensis (rubber tree). The record is from RNAcentral. Lineage: Eukaryota; Viridiplantae; Streptophyta; Magnoliopsida; Malpighiales; Euphorbiaceae.
ACAAUUUUGAAGCUUACAUAGGUGAUAAUCUUGUUCAGUUUCCUAAUAUGCCACCUUUUGGUAUUCACAUUAACUUUCUACUGCUUCUGUUGGAGCUACUGUACCAUUUCUAUAUAGCUUGCACAACCUUGUAGAAAUCUGCAAUCCUCAUCUCUCUUCCUCUCUGAUUGGGGGCUUCUUUUUCAUUUAUUUUUUUAAUCUUUUUUUCCAUGUAUCCUCCAUCAUAAACAGCUAUCAGCCAUCAGGCAGGAUCAAAAACUUUGACACUAGAUUGGACGUAGAAUAUACUCCUGGUGCUUGAGUAAGUAGCUUCUGGUUAAGAAAAGAUUAACAAGAUGGAAACACUUUACUAUUUCACAAAAUUAGCGUUCAACAGAGUAGUUCAGCCGUCAAUUUUGCCCUACCAUUGUGUCUUG